Molecule: ribosomal RNA, 497 nt
Filed under: uncultured bacterium
Lineage: Bacteria
Description: partial 16S ribosomal RNA
Rfam family: Bacterial small subunit ribosomal RNA
Source: RNAcentral
GAUGAACGCUGGCGGCGUGCCUAACACAUGCAAGUCGAGCGAACAGACGAUGAGCUUGCUCCUCUGACGUUAGCGGCGGACGGGUGAGUAACACGUGGAUAACCUACCUAUAAGACUGGGAUAACUUCGGGAAACCGGAGCUAAUACUGGAUAAUAUAUUGAACCUCAUGGUUCAAUAGUGAAAGACGGUUUUGCUGUCACUUAUAGCUGGAUCCGAGCCGACUUAGCUAGUUGGUAAGGUAACGGCUUACCAAGGCAACGAUGCGUAGCCGACCGGAGAGGGUGAUCGGCCACACUGGAGGUGAGACACGGUCAUGGCUCCUACGGGAGGCAGCAGUAGGGAAUGUGCCGCACUGGGCGAAAGCUUGACGGAGCAACGCCGCGUGGGUGAUGAAGGUCUUCGGAUCGUAAAACUCUGUUAGUAGGGAAGAACAAAUGUGUAAGUAACUAAGCACGUCUUGACGGUACCUAAUCAAAAAGCCACGGCUAGCUACGUG